RNAcentral lists this transfer RNA (74 nucleotides) under Phaeophyceae sp. RNAcentral's name for it is "tRNA-Met". It matches the Rfam family "tRNA". From Rfam's summary of the family: Transfer RNA (tRNA) molecules are approximately 80 nucleotides in length. Their secondary structure includes four short double-helical elements and three loops (D, anti-codon, and T loops). The record is from RNAcentral. Lineage: Eukaryota; Phaeophyceae.
UGCGGAGUAGAGCAGUCUGGUAGCUCGUUGGGCUCAUAACCCGAAAGCCGCUGGUUCGAAUCCAGCCUUCGCUA